AAGGAAUUGACUGCAACCCCAAUUAAACAUAUUAACAUUUUUGUGGAAAUGUAAGGUUAAGAUAAUACAUAAAUAAGCUAUAAGAACAUGCUCGUUUUAAUUUUGGUCACUAGAAUAUUAACUGAAUUUUCCAUUUCUUUGCUUAAAAAAAUUUCACAUGCAUUGAUAACAUUUCUAAAGAUAAGUUACAGCUUUCUCAAUAACUCUAAUGUAAGAGCAACAACAACAUGGCUGUUUGAAAUUAUAAAAAGUUAAACAGGCUUCUCCAACAAUCCAACUCCUGGGUUUCUACCCAGAUGGAAAGAAGUCGUUAUAUUAAAAAGAUACUUAUACAUGCAUGUUAUGGUUUUUCUUCUGGCAAUUGAAUAUUUUAGGUCUUAAAGUGAUGAGAAAACCAGAAAUACUCAACCUAUAUUUUGUAUCUUGUUCACUGUGAAAGAUAAUAAUCUUCAAAUUGGAAAGGGAAAAGGGAAGAAUCAACAAUGUUGGGAUGGAAUUAAAGGCCAUGAAAAGUGAGGAAAAAAUAGAGCACAGUUAGUUGAUUUGAAAUGAAUCUAAAUUGACAGUCCUGGUGAAUAUAAUCCUGGGCAUUGAGCAAACUUGUAAAUAUCAAUGAUAACAUCGGUAAUAUUUGAGAGCUGGAGAAAAAAGACAAGAAAAAUGGGUCAAAGAUUGGUGGGGAUAGUUAAUUUGUGGGGCUAGUUCCUGAAACUACAGAUUAGUGAACUUGACCUUCACUUCUGAUCAAAUUAAAUGCAGUAUUAUAGAAAUUGGACAAGUACAGAAAAAUAUAAAACAGAAAAUAAUAAUUAAAAAAUUUGUAAUCUUAUCACAGAGGUAACUUAAAGUACUGGUUU
RNAcentral lists this long non-coding RNA (857 nucleotides) under Pan troglodytes (chimpanzee). Its description in RNAcentral is "long non-coding RNA NONPTRT012579". The record is from RNAcentral. Lineage: Eukaryota; Metazoa; Chordata; Mammalia; Primates; Hominidae.